This 536-nucleotide long non-coding RNA is filed under the name Brassica rapa (field mustard). RNAcentral describes it as "long non-coding RNA (BRAP_LNC007488)". The record is from RNAcentral. Lineage: Eukaryota; Viridiplantae; Streptophyta; Magnoliopsida; Brassicales; Brassicaceae.
UAAUCCAAGAAGAUAAGAUAACGAUGCAUAGACUAAAUUUAUUAACACACAAAUAUACAGGGGUAUAUAAAGAGAGUAUAAAACAUUUCACAUGGCCUCAAAUAAUUAUUUAAGUUCCACCCAAUGAGACAAGGUAGAUUAGCCGCAAGUGGAUUUGGAUUCCCUUUCACCCCCAUUAUUAUAGGUAUUGAUGAAAUUGUAAUUAGAAGUUUACUAGUUUAGAACAGUGGCACAUGUAGUAUUUAACCCAUGUAUUGUACUCCGUAAAUGUUUUACUGAAAUUAUUGGUUCAAGACUCAAGAGUGAUUAUCAUUUCUUUUUCUGAAAGACUAUUUCACAUUACCACUUUUCUAUUGGACCAUCUCUUCAAACUGGCACCUUUCUCAAUUUUGAGUUAGAAACUGGAUACAUGCUAUUAAUAAUACAUAUCCAUAUAUAGUGAACUUUUUGACUCAGACAAUAAGAAGUUCAUAUGAGCCAGACCCACCCAAGAACUGGACCACAAACAAGACCUAUUCCUAGAAAAACAACCAUGA